GGAGGGAUACCCAAGUCUGGUUUAAGGGAAAUUAAUACUAUGUAUUAAUUAGAAGCUUAUGCUUGCGUUGGUUCAAAUCCUUCUCCCUCCG
This 91-nucleotide transfer RNA is filed under the name Staphylococcus epidermidis. Its description in RNAcentral is "tRNA-His". It matches the Rfam family "tRNA". From Rfam's summary of the family: Transfer RNA (tRNA) molecules are approximately 80 nucleotides in length. The record is from RNAcentral. RNAcentral also lists the same sequence under 12 other names. Lineage: Bacteria; Bacillati; Bacillota; Bacilli; Caryophanales; Staphylococcaceae.